Molecule: ribosomal RNA, 378 nt
Filed under: uncultured eukaryote
Lineage: Eukaryota
Description: partial 18S ribosomal RNA
Rfam family: Eukaryotic small subunit ribosomal RNA
Source: RNAcentral
CAAAAGCGUAUAUUUAAGUUGUUGCAGUUAAAAAGCUCGUAGUUGGAUUUCGGGUGGGACGCAGCGGUCUCGCAUUGCGUUUGUACUGCUGCAGCCCUCCUUCUUGCCGGGGGCGGCCUCUCGGACUUCACUGUCUGGGGGUCAGAAUCGGCGAUGUUACUUUGAGUAAAUUAGAGUGUUCAAAGCAAGCUUACGCUCUGAAUAUAAUAGCAUGGGAUAACACGACAGGACUCUGGCCUAUCGUGUUGGUCUAUAGGACCAGAGUAAUGAUUAAGAGGGACAGUCGGGGGCAUUCGUAUUCCGUUGUCAGAGGUGAAAUUCUUGGAUUUACGGAAGACGAACAUCUGCGAAAGCAUUUGCCAAGGAUGUUUUCAUUGA